This is a long non-coding RNA of Glossina fuscipes, 582 nucleotides long. RefSeq lists it as uncharacterized. The transcript is spliced from 3 exons. Lineage: Eukaryota; Metazoa; Arthropoda; Insecta; Diptera; Glossinidae. The record is from RefSeq and is a predicted model, not a curated record.
AAAGGCUGCCGUACAAAACUGAUGUUAAUGACAUGUAGAAUAAUUGACGUCAAAUUUCUAUAAAAUCCAUUUAUAUAAAAUCCUAUUUCCAAAAGCCGUUCUAUGAAUAACUGUAUUAAGCGAAGUCGUGCAAGUAUGAUGAAGAUUCAACAAUAAGCAAAUUAAUAGCACGUGAAAGAUGUUUUAUCAAGUUUGCGUCCAGUGAAUAUGACGGGCAAUUAUACAUGACACCACAAGAUUUUUUUUUUAGAAUCAGUUGUCUAACAAGAACCCAGACCUUGCUUGAAACGUCGCAUACUAACUGAACGUGAUAUAAAUUCAAUGCGUGAUGAAACUCCACCGUUGAAGAAAGGUUCAAAUCAAUUGUCUAGAAAAUUAAAGGAUCGAGGUAGCUUCAUAUACACAUAAAGUUGAAUUUAGUGUUUUGGAAAAAAAAUCUCGUCUUUUUCUUUUAGGCAUUAUUUCCUAUACCGAGUAUUCGUUUUUAUUAUCAAUUUUAACAGGUAAGUGAAGCAUAUAUCGGAAUUAACGUUCGUAUGUAUUAAAAACUCUGUGGAGAAUGUUUAAAACACCAUAAAAAGA